GAUGAACGCUGGCGGCGUGCCUAACACAUGCAAGUCGAACGAAGUUUUAUGAAGUUUUCGGACGGAUUAAAACUUAGUGGCGGACGGGUGAGUAACGCGUGGGUAACCUGCCUCAUACAGGGGGAUAACAGCUGGAAACGGCUGCUAAAACCGCAUAAGCAUACACUGCCGCAUGGCAGAGUGUGAAAAUAUUAAUAGGUAUGAGAUGGGCCCGCGUCUGAUUAGCUAGUUGGUAAGGUAACGGCUUACCAAGGCGACGAUCAGUAGCCGGCUUGAGAGAGUGACCGGCCACAUUGGGACUGAGACACGGCCCAAACUCCUACGGGAGGCAGCAGUGGGGAAUAUUGCACAAUGGGGGAAACCCUGAUGCAGCGACGCCGCGUGAGUGAAGAAGUAUUUCGGUAUGUAAAGCUCUAUCAGCAGGGAAGAUUAUGACGGUACCUGACUAAGAAGCCCCGGCUAACUACGUG
Molecule: ribosomal RNA, 470 nt
Filed under: uncultured bacterium
Lineage: Bacteria
Description: bacterial SSU rRNA
Rfam family: Bacterial small subunit ribosomal RNA
Source: RNAcentral